CAGAACGAACGCUGGCGGCGUACUUAACACAUGCAAGUCGAACGAGAGGGCGUGGGUGUAGCAAUACAGUCGCACCAGUUAAGUGGCGAACGGGUGCGUAACACGUAGAUAACGUUCCUUGGAGGGGGGAAUAUCCCGGGGAAACCUGAGCUAAUCCUGCAUAAUAUUCCGCUGACUCAUCCCAUCGGGAUCAAAGGCCAGCAAGGGUCUCUUGAGGAGGGGGCUGCGGCCGAUUAGGUAGUUGGUGGGGUAUAUGUGCCUCCCAAGGCGGUGAUAAGUAGCCGGCCUGAGAGGGCGCACGGCCACACUGGCUUGUUCUCCGGGCCAUGGACCUACGGGAGGCAGCA
RNAcentral lists this ribosomal RNA (347 nucleotides) under uncultured Acidobacteriota bacterium. Its description in RNAcentral is "bacterial SSU rRNA". It matches the Rfam family "Bacterial small subunit ribosomal RNA", at positions 25 to 353 of the family's 1533-position model. Lineage: Bacteria; Pseudomonadati; Acidobacteriota. The record is from RNAcentral.